UACAGAGGUCCCAAGCGUUGUUCGGAUUCAUUGGGCGUAAAGGGUGCGUAGGCGGCGCGGUAAGUCGGGUGUGAAAUCUCGGAGCUUAACUCCGAAACUGCAUUCGAUACUGCCGUGCUUGAGGACUGGAGAGGAGACUGGAAUUUACGGUGUAGCGGUGAAAUGCGUAGAUAUCGUAAGGAAGACCAGUGGCGAAGGCGGGUCUCUGGACAGUUCCUGACGCUGAGGCACGAAGGUCGGGGGAGCAAACGGG
This 253-nucleotide ribosomal RNA is filed under the name uncultured bacterium. RNAcentral's name for it is "partial 16S ribosomal RNA". It matches the Rfam family "Bacterial small subunit ribosomal RNA", at positions 524 to 776 of the family's 1533-position model. The record is from RNAcentral.